CUAACACAUGCAAGCCGAGCGGUAUUGUUUCUUCGGAAAUGAGAGAGCGGCGUACGGGUGCGGAACACGUGUGCAACCUGCCUUUAUCUGGGGGAUAGCCUUUCGAAAGGAAGAUUAAUACUCCAUAAUAUAUUGAACGGCAUCGUUUAAUAUUGAAAGCUCCGGCGGAUAGAGAUGGGCACGCGCAAGAUUAGCUAGUUGGUGAGGUAACGGCUCACCAAGGCGAUGAUCUUUAGGGGGCCUGAGAGGGUGAUCCCCCACACUGGUACUGAGACACGGACCAGACUCCUACGGGAGGCAGCAGUGAGGAAUAUUGGUCAAUGGGUGCAAGCCUGAACCAGCCAUCCCGCGUGAAGGACGACUGCCCUAUGGGUUGUAAACUUCUUUUGUAUAGGGAUAAACCUUUCCACGUGUGGAAAGCUGAAGGUACUAUACGAAUAAGCACCGGCUAACUCCGUGCCAGCAGCCGCGGUAAU
RNAcentral lists this ribosomal RNA (476 nucleotides) under uncultured bacterium. Its description in RNAcentral is "bacterial SSU rRNA". It matches the Rfam family "Bacterial small subunit ribosomal RNA", at positions 48 to 524 of the family's 1533-position model. The record is from RNAcentral.